RNAcentral lists this ribosomal RNA (253 nucleotides) under uncultured bacterium. Its description in RNAcentral is "partial 16S ribosomal RNA". It matches the Rfam family "Bacterial small subunit ribosomal RNA", at positions 524 to 776 of the family's 1533-position model. The record is from RNAcentral.
UACGGGGGGAGCAAGCGUUGUUCGGAUUUACUGGGCGUAAAGGGCGCGUAGGCGGUCAGCACAAGUCAGUUGUGAAAUCUCCGGGCUUAACUCGGAAAGGUCAACUGAUACUGUGCGACUAGAGUGCGGAAGGGGCAACUGGAAUUCUCGGUGUAGCGGUGAAAUGCGUAGAUAUCGAGAGGAACACCUGCGGCGAAGGCGGGUUGCUGGGCCGACACUGACGCUGAUGCGCGAAAGCCAGGGAGCGAACGGG